Molecule: ribosomal RNA, 301 nt
Filed under: uncultured bacterium
Lineage: Bacteria
Description: partial 16S ribosomal RNA
Rfam family: Bacterial small subunit ribosomal RNA
Source: RNAcentral
CAGCCGCCGCGGUAAUACGAAGGUCCCGAGCGUUGUUCGGAAUCACUGGGCGUAAAGGGAGCGUAGGCGGCGUGGUAAGUCAGAUGUGAAAUCCCGGGGCUCAACCCCGGAACUGCAUCCGAUACUGCCAUGCUAGAGGAUUGGAGAGGUAGCUGGAAUUCUUGGUGUAGCAGUGAAAUGCGUGGAGAUCAAGAGGAACACUCGUGGCGAAAGCGAGCUACUGGACAAUAACUGACGCUGAGGCUCGAAGGCCAGGGUAGCGAAAGGGAUUAGAUACCCGCGUAGUCCCUGUCUCUUAUAC